This 500-nucleotide ribosomal RNA is filed under the name uncultured bacterium. RNAcentral describes it as "partial 16S ribosomal RNA". It matches the Rfam family "Bacterial small subunit ribosomal RNA", at positions 30 to 523 of the family's 1533-position model. The record is from RNAcentral.
AUUGAACGCUGGCGGCAUGCCUUACACAUGCAAGUCGAACGGCAGCACGGGAGCAAUCCUGGUGGCGAGUGGCGAACGGGUGAGUAAUAUAUCGGAACGUGCCCAGUCGUGGGGGAUAACGUAGCGAAAGCUACGCUAAUACCGCAUACGAUCCAUGGAUGAAAGCGGGGGAUCGCAAGACCUCGCGCGAUUGGAGCGGCCGAUAUCAGAUUAGCUAGUUGGUGGGGUAAAAGCCCACCAAGGCGACGAUCUGUAGCUGGUCUGAGAGGACGACCAGCCACACUGGAACGGGGACACGGUCCAGACUCCUACGGGAGGCAGCAGUGGGGAAUUUUGGACAAUGGGCGAAAGCCUGAUCCAGCAAUGCCGCGUGCAGGACGAAGGCCUUCGGGUUGUAAACUGCUUUUGUACGGAGCGAAACGGUCCUCUCUAAUACAGGGGGCUAAUGACGGUACCGUAAGAAUAAGCACCGGCUAACUACGUGCCAGCCGCCGCCGUAA